UACGGUGGGAGCAAGCGUUGUUCGGAUUUACUGGGCGUAAAGGGCGCGUAGGCGGCGCAACAAGUCACUUGUGAAAUCUCCGGGCUUAACUCGGAAAGGUCAAGUGAUACUGUUGUGCUAGAGUGCGGAAGGGGCAACUGGAAUUCUCGGUGUAGCGGUGAAAUGCGUAGAUAUCGAGAGGAACACCUGCGGCGAAGGCGGGUUGCUGGGCCGACACUGACGCUGAUGCGCGAAAGCCAGGGGAGCGAACGGG
Molecule: ribosomal RNA, 253 nt
Filed under: uncultured bacterium
Lineage: Bacteria
Description: partial 16S ribosomal RNA
Rfam family: Bacterial small subunit ribosomal RNA
Source: RNAcentral